AUACGGGGGGUGCGAGCGUUAUUCGGAAUUACUGGGCGUAAAGAGCGCGUAGGCGGUCUUUUAAGUCAGGUGUGAAAGCCCGGAGCUCAACCCCGGAAGUGCACUUGAAACUAAGAGACUUGAGUAUGGGAGAGGGAAGUGGAAUUCCUGGUGUAGCGGUGAAAUGCGUAGAUAUCAGGAGGAACAUCAGUGGCGAAGGCGACUUCCUGGACCAAUACUGACGCUGAGGCGCGAAGGCGUGGGGAGCAAACAGGAUUAGAAACCCCGGUAGUCC
This 274-nucleotide ribosomal RNA is filed under the name uncultured bacterium. Its description in RNAcentral is "partial 16S ribosomal RNA". It matches the Rfam family "Bacterial small subunit ribosomal RNA", at positions 523 to 796 of the family's 1533-position model. The record is from RNAcentral.